Molecule: ribosomal RNA, 482 nt
Filed under: uncultured bacterium
Lineage: Bacteria
Description: partial 16S ribosomal RNA
Rfam family: Bacterial small subunit ribosomal RNA
Source: RNAcentral
AUUGAACGCUGGCGGCAUGCCUUACACAUGCAAAUCGAACGGUAACGGGCCUUCGGGUGCCGACGAGUGGCGAACGGGUGAGUAAUACAUCGGAACGUGCCCGAUCGUGGGGGAUAACGAGGCGAAAGCUUUGCUAAUACCGCAUACGAUCUACGGAUGAAAGCAGGGGACCGCAAGGCCUUGCGCGGACGGAGCGGCCGAUGGCAGAUUAGGUAGUUGGUGGGAUAAAAGCUUACCAAGCCGACGAUCUGUAGCUGGUCUGAGAGGAUGAUCAGCCACACUGGGACUGAGACACGGCCCAGACUCCUACGGGAGGCAGCAGUGGGGAAUUUUGGACAAUGGGCGCAAGCCUGAUCCAGCCAUGCCGCGUGCAGGAUGAAGGCCUUCGGGUUGUAAACUGAUUUUGUACGGAACGAAAAGCCUUCUUUUAAUACAGAAGGGUCAUGACGGUACCGUAAGAAUAAGCACCGGCUAACUACGUG